UCCCUCCCGUGCGAUGGAAGCGGUGUAGUCGGACGCGACGUCCUCCGCAGCCGUGCCCACCGCUUGCUAGUUGCUGGGGGCGACCGCGAGGCCAUACGCAUGCGCCGACGCUUGGGUUUUGGGAGUGCGAUGGUGGGGGUGCAUACUUGGCUCCCGAGACCUCCGGAAUCGGACGCGCGAAGAAAUUGGGAGCUGGCUUGGGCAGCUGUUGGAGUUCGGGAAAGUUGAUUCCGUCGGGGGUUUCCUUCUUCUCUCCUCACAGUUCUUCCCCAAUCGCAGAACCCUAGCCAUGGACGCCGCCGGGUCCGCCGCCGACGUGGCCUUGGCGUCGGCGGAUGAGGGAUAUGGUGCUUCUGGUUCGCGGAGCGCAGGGGUAGGCGAGAAGGGAGGAUAUGUGGACGCGAUGGUGGUAGCGUCACUUCGGAUGACCAGGGCGUCGUCCGCGGACGUGAUCCGGCGCCAUGGCUUGCGGAUGGCUCAGCAUUUGCUAGAAUUCAGGAAGAAGGAACUUAGCAGAACUCAAACUUCUGAAUUAAUGGAUGGCAUUCGUUUCUGUAUGUACCCCCCC
Panicum virgatum (switchgrass) is the source of this 568-nucleotide long non-coding RNA. RefSeq lists it as uncharacterized. The record is from RefSeq and is a predicted model, not a curated record. The transcript is spliced from 4 exons. NCBI's taxonomy places the organism in Eukaryota, Viridiplantae, Streptophyta, Magnoliopsida, Poales, Poaceae.